CCACCGGCCGCCUUAAGUAAGGAGGCGGGGCCAGCCGGUCCGCGCCCGCGCCGCUCCCAUUGGUGGCUGCGCCUCCCGGCGGGAGACUCACAACGUCAUUGGCUGUCGCCAGGCGGGAGGCGCGCGGCCGGCGGGGGCGGGGCGGGCGCGCGUGAAGAAUCGAGAGCUUGUGUGUGUGUGUGUGUGUGUGUGUGUGUGUGUGUGUGUGUGUGUGUCUGUGUCUGUGUGUGUCUGUGUGUCUGUGUGUCUGUGUGUCUGUGUGUGUGUGUGUGUGUGCCUGUGUGUGUGCCUGUGUGUGUGCCUGUGUGUGUGCCUGUGUGUGCGUGUGUGUGUGCGUGUGUGUCUGUGUGUGUGUCUGUGUCUGUGUGUCUGUGUCUGUGUGUCUGUGUCUGUGUGUCUGUGUGUCUGUGUCUGUGUGUCUGUGUGUCUGUGUGUGUGUGUCUGUGUGUGUGUCUGUGUGUGUGUCUGUGUGUGUGUCUGUGUGUGUGUCUGUCUGUCUGUGUCUGUCUGUCUGUGUCUGUGUGUCUGUGUGUCUGUGUGUGUGUCUGUCUGUCUGUCUGUCUGUCUGUCUGUGUCUCUGUCUCUGUGUGUCUCUGUCUCUGUGUGUCUCUGUGUCUGUGCGUCUGUGUGUGUGUCUGUGUGUGUGUCUGUGUGUCUGUGUGCUCGCGCGUACAUGACAGUGCGUGUGUGAGCGGGGUGUGGGGGACAGGCUGUGCUGCAGUGCCUGGUGUGAGUGUGGGUGUCGCGAACAUCCCCGAGAAUGCGCACGUGGGUUUGUGCCCCAGUGCCUCUGUGUCCGCGCGUCUCAGCGCGCCGGUGUCUCUGCGUGGGCCCUGGGCCCGUUCAAGCCAGUUCUCCCCGUCGGUGCACGCCCGACAGCCGCCCGUGCAUGUGUGUCCGUGUCCCUGUCCGCACGCGUGGCCGCCGCUCUGUGCCCGCCGUGACCCCCCGGCUGCCUGUGCGCGGCUGUCCCGCCCACCUCCCCGCCCCGCACCGCCCGCCGGGCGCUGUCCGUGGUGGUGAAGCCGCGGAGGCGGCAGCGCUGCCCGGCCCUUCCCGGCGCUGCUCGCUUCCCUCCGUCCCCCGCUUCCCCGCGCAGCCAGCGGUGCCCGCCCCGUGGCUCGCUGGGAUGCGGGAGCUGCCCCGCUCAAGCGGUGCCGCAUCGACGGCGGUGCCCGCGGCGGAGCUGCCAAACAGCGACUCCCGUGAGGAUGUGAUCGGAGCAUCAGCCAUCGGGCACCGCUGCUUACACGGCGCGCCGAAAAUGUCUGCCCGCGGGUGCUGUGCACAGCGAGAGGGAGCGCAGGAGGGGCCUGGCGGUCCUGAGGGGAAGGGGCGAUCUCUGCCGAGGAAUGCUACGCUGCACCUUCAGGAGCAGCUCUCUGCAGCUCCCACGGCCCCCUGACAGAACUAAAGCUAUUAUGCAAUUGAAGUGUCUACAGCUGGGCGUAGCGAAAAAUGGUGCUGUUUGCAAUGCAGCUCAGGAGAUCACCUAUGUCAUCAGACUGUACUUCUGCAUCUCUCUUUAUCAGAAUAAUUCAGGCUGGUGCCCCUCGCUUCAAGAAGAGAGAAGACUGGUGAUGAGCCUCCAUCUGUUGUCUGUAUGCUGGCGUGUGGAUACCAGUCCUUGGACCUUGUGGCUUCAUGGUUUGAUUACGGGAUACCUUAACAUGUACAGGCCAUCAAUGUGAAGCUCGUUUCCACGUAGCAACACUGGGAUGAUGUACUGGGCUAUGGCCGAGGUAGGUCCAACUGGAACUGGCUAUGCCCUUUCCUUGUAGAGGCCAGCCCUGCAGCCCCGCAACUGCCAACAGCUUGCCAUGCAAUCCAGAAAAGAACUGUGCAUCAGCAAGUACACAAGUCACUGUAGAUCAUCUUCAGACUACCCCAGGCACAGCAAAAGACUCAACUGUAUGGUCCAAUACACAGAUAGUUGAUCUGUGCGGUAAGUCUCUUAUUUCAGCAGUUUUAGAUUCUCCACUCAUAUGACUGAAUAAACACUGAUUUUCUUAAAUAUCAUACAAAUCAUAUAAAUCAGCUUCAGUUAAAAAUAUAUCCAUAGAUACUUAUUUUUUUUCAAGACAUUAAAUAGUUUCAUAUGCUCGGUGAGCCUAGGACUCCAGAAGAGUUCAGUGUGAGUUCCUGGUGUACAAUGAAUAUUAGCUUAUGCCAUAACUUGGUUUA
Molecule: RNA transcript, 2184 nt
Organism: Pseudopipra pipra
Lineage: Eukaryota; Metazoa; Chordata; Aves; Passeriformes; Pipridae
Exons: 3
Source: RefSeq, a predicted model, not a curated record